UACAGAGGGUGCGAGCGUUGUUCGGAAUUACUGGGCGUAAAGCGCGCGCAGGCGGCCCUUUAAGUCCGUCGGUCAAAUGCCGGGGCUCAACCCCGAGCGUGCCGAGGGUACUGGAGGGCUGGAGACACGUAGAGGCAAGCGGAAUUCCGGGUGUAGCGGUGGAAUGCGUAGAGAUCCGGAAGAACACCGGAGGCGAAGGCGGCUUGCUGGGCGUGAUCUGACGCUGAGGCGCGAAAGCGUGGGGAGCGAACAGG
This 254-nucleotide ribosomal RNA is filed under the name uncultured bacterium. RNAcentral's name for it is "partial 16S ribosomal RNA". It matches the Rfam family "Bacterial small subunit ribosomal RNA", at positions 524 to 776 of the family's 1533-position model. The record is from RNAcentral.